RNAcentral lists this ribosomal RNA (355 nucleotides) under Scolelepis sp. GF-26823_19500. Its description in RNAcentral is "partial large subunit ribosomal RNA". It matches the Rfam family "Bacterial large subunit ribosomal RNA", at positions 1948 to 2518 of the family's 2925-position model. The record is from RNAcentral. Lineage: Eukaryota; Metazoa; Annelida; Polychaeta; Spionida; Spionidae.
GUGCAAAGGUAGCAUAAUAAUUUGCCUCUUAAUUAGAGGCUGGAAUGAAGGAACAUACGAGAGUAAAACUGUUUCAUUUUUACCUAAUGAAAACUAACCUCUAGAUGAAGAGAUCUAGAUAACUAAGAAAGACAAAAAGACCCUAUUGAGCUUUACCCUACCAGAAUUCCCCCAAAGUGAAUCUAUUUAAUAAAUUCUGAGCGGGUUUUGUUGGGGCGACAGAAGAAGAACUAAAUCUUCUUUAUUUAAUGAGGUAAUAAACCUAAUAAUGAUCCGGAACCCCCGAUUAAAAGAUUCAGCUACCAUAGGGAUAACAGGCUAAUUCUUUCCGAGAGCCCAUAUUGACGAAAGAGAU